RNAcentral lists this ribosomal RNA (468 nucleotides) under uncultured bacterium. RNAcentral describes it as "partial 16S ribosomal RNA". It matches the Rfam family "Bacterial small subunit ribosomal RNA", at positions 28 to 507 of the family's 1533-position model. The record is from RNAcentral.
GACGAACGCUGGCGGCGUGCUUAACACAUGCAAGUCGAACGGAAAGGCCCUGCUUUUGUGGUGUGCUCGAGUGGCGAACGGGUGAGUAACACGUGAGUAACCUGCCCUUGACUUUGGGAUAACUUCAGGAAACUGGGGCUAAUACCGGAUAGGAGCUCCUGCUGCAUGGUGGGGGUUGGAAAGUUUCGGCGGUUGGGGAUGGACUCGCGGCUUAUCAGCUUGUUGGUGGGGUAGUGGCUUACCAAGGCUUUGACGGGUAGCCGGCCUGGGAGGGUGACAGGCCACAUUGGGACUGAGAUACGGCCCAGACUGCUACGGGAGGCAGCAGUGGGGAAUAUUGCACAAUGGGCGGAAGCCUGAUGCAGCAACGCCGCGUGCGGGAUGACGGCCUUCGGGUUGUAAACCGCUUUCGCCUGUGACGAAGCGUGAGUGACGGUAAUGGGUAAAGAAGCACCGGCUAACUACGUG